UGAUUUGGAGGUGUAUUGACUUUGUAAAAGCUUUGCAAAGUCAAGGUUUGUUUUGGAUGACUUGGAUUUUAUGAAAUAAAAUAGGGUUUACAUUUUGGAUGAUUUCAAGAGUUUUGUUUUAGAUCUAUGGAUGAAAUUUUGUGGAUUUAUAUUUAUAGUUGUUUUUAAUCUGUUUUGUGAAUUCGAUUUCAAUCUAACGGUUGAAUUGAGGAUUAUUAAGGUUUAAGUGGAUCAAGGUCUUAGAAAGUAGAAUUUUA
This 257-nucleotide long non-coding RNA is filed under the name Physcomitrium patens. RNAcentral describes it as "long non-coding RNA (PPAT_LNC009795)". Lineage: Eukaryota; Viridiplantae; Streptophyta; Bryopsida; Funariales; Funariaceae. The record is from RNAcentral.